This 65-nucleotide transfer RNA is filed under the name Carbrunneria paramaxi. RNAcentral describes it as "tRNA-Ala". Lineage: Eukaryota; Metazoa; Arthropoda; Insecta; Blattodea; Blattellidae. The record is from RNAcentral.
AGGAUAAUAGUUAAUUAUAACAUUUGGGUUGCAUUCAAAAAGUAUUGAUAUUUCAGUUUAUCUUA